RNAcentral lists this transfer RNA (86 nucleotides) under Leisingera sp. ANG-M1. RNAcentral describes it as "tRNA-Leu". It matches the Rfam family "tRNA". Rfam says of the family: Transfer RNA (tRNA) molecules are approximately 80 nucleotides in length. Their secondary structure includes four short double-helical elements and three loops (D, anti-codon, and T loops). The record is from RNAcentral. Lineage: Bacteria; Pseudomonadati; Pseudomonadota; Alphaproteobacteria; Rhodobacterales; Roseobacteraceae.
GCGGACGUGGUGGAAUGGUAGACACCGGAGACUUAAAAUCUCCUGGCUUUAUGGCCGUGCGGGUUCGAGUCCCGCCGUCCGCACCA